RNAcentral lists this ribosomal RNA (374 nucleotides) under uncultured bacterium. RNAcentral's name for it is "bacterial SSU rRNA". It matches the Rfam family "Bacterial small subunit ribosomal RNA", at positions 524 to 898 of the family's 1533-position model. The record is from RNAcentral.
UACGAAGGGGGCAAGCGUUGUUCGGAUUUACUGGGCGUAAAGGGAGUGUAGGCGGUUCUCCAAGUCAGACGUGAAAGCCCGGGGCUCAACCCCGGAAUUGCGUUUGAGACUGUGGAACUUGAGUGUCUGAGGGGUAAGCGGAAUUUCCAGUGUAGAGGUGAAAUUCGUAGAUAUUGGAAGGAACACCGGUGGCGUAGGCGGCUUACUGGCAGACAACUGACGCUGAGGCUCGAAAGCGUGGGGAGCGAACAGGAUUAGAUACCCUGGUAGUCCACGCCCUAAACGAUGUAUGCUCGCUGUUGGACGGUUUACCGUUCAGUGGCUAAACUAACGCGAUAAGCAUACCGCCUGGGGAAUACGGUCGCAAGAUUAAA